AUAGAAUGACAAACUUGCAGCGCGAGGAAGCCGGUGAGAGUCCGGCACGGUCGCGCCACUGUGAGCGGUUGUCGAUUGAGGAAAAUUCAAUUGGCAUCUGCAAGUCAGACCCCCGCUGCAACCUUUCCUAAGUC
RNAcentral lists this non-coding RNA (134 nucleotides) under Caballeronia glathei. The record is from RNAcentral. Lineage: Bacteria; Pseudomonadati; Pseudomonadota; Betaproteobacteria; Burkholderiales; Burkholderiaceae.